GGCAGUUCUCGGGUGAUGCACCUCGGAAUCGGGCUCCCUCCUCUCUGGUUCCAGGUCACCCGAGAACUACC
Myotis brandtii (Brandt's bat) is the source of this 71-nucleotide non-coding RNA. The record is from Rfam. Lineage: Eukaryota; Metazoa; Chordata; Mammalia; Chiroptera; Vespertilionidae.